GAAAUGCGAUAAGUAAUGUGAAUUGCAGAAUUCCGUGAAUCAUCGAAUCUUUGAACGCACAUUGCGCCCUCUGGCAUUCCGGGGGGGCAUGCCUGUCCGAGCGUCAUUACGCACCCUCAAGCCCGGCUUGUGUGAUGGGCCCCGGCGUCUCGUUCACGAGACGGGCCCGAAAGGCAGCGGCGGCGUCGACCCGAUGAGCCCGAGCGUAUGGGGACUUCUGUCACACGUUCGCGGUGCGGACCGGCGCCUGCUUGACUUUUCUGAUUAUCCAGGUUGACCUCGGAUCAGGUAGGGAUACCCGCUGAACUUAAGC
This 313-nucleotide unclassified non-coding RNA is filed under the name plant metagenome. RNAcentral's name for it is "partial contains 5.8S ribosomal RNA, internal transcribed spacer 2, and large subunit ribosomal RNA". The stretch from base 1 to 106 matches the Rfam family "5.8S ribosomal RNA", at positions 50 to 154 of the family's 154-position model. The record is from RNAcentral.